This is a long non-coding RNA of Delphinapterus leucas (beluga whale), 1164 nucleotides long. RefSeq lists it as uncharacterized. NCBI's taxonomy places the organism in Eukaryota, Metazoa, Chordata, Mammalia, Artiodactyla, Monodontidae. The record is from RefSeq and is a predicted model, not a curated record.
UGGACUCCCAAGACGAGAGGUGUGGCCGUAUCUCCGAUUUUCAAAAGGGGCCCAUCAUCAGGAUUUCCUGCCAACUCCAAACCAGCCAACCCCCUCAUUGCAUUUGCUUCCCCGACAUGUCUUGCUCAGAGCCCUCAUGACCAGAGGGAGGCAGGGGUCUCUCCCUCUGCCUCAUGGCUAAGAAAACCCCAGCAGGGAAAAAUUCAAACCUGACUCUGCCGAGGAAGGUCCCAGAGCACAGCCACCCCGAUCUCAAUGUGACACUUCUGGAGAAGGAAGACAUCGCCCGAAGAGCCCCGCUCCUGGGAUGCCUGCGGUGACUCUGGGGUCUGAACUGAUGACAGUUACACAGGAGCUACUCUGGCUGCCGCAGGGCUGGGAAGCAAGACCUCCACAUGCAGCCCCACCGCCACCCAGGAUGAUGGCAUGGAACCUGCAGGGUCCAAUUUGGAAAGUCUGUGCAGCAGGUCGAGAAGAGACCCCAGAAGGUCCCCCACCCAGCUGGGGCUCUGUCAAGGGCCCCCUGAUCAUCAACUCCCCUUCCAGACCCAGACCUGCAUGGUCCCAGACGAGGAACCUGGCAGUCCAAGAGGGGAAGAAGUGGGCAAGGUCACACAGCCAGGAGGCCGUGGAACCAGGAUCAGAUCCAGAUCAGCAAGAUGCUGUCCCAGCACCAAACACCUCCUUUUUGUGGCUGCCACCGGGAAUAACACCUGCCACACAGCGGUCAGGAGCUGUGCUGGGCUCUUUCCAUGUACUACUACUCGGUCAUCCUCACCAAAGCCCCCUGAGACAGAUGCCAGAUUAGCCCCAUUGUACAGAUGAGGAAACUGAGGCACAGAGAGGGGAAAAUACAUAGAUUUCAAGAGGGUGCAGAGCCUCAAAGUCCUCCCUGGCUUGAAUGCCUGUGCUAACGGGGCCCUGAUCUCUCACCCCUGCCCUCACUCCAGCCAGAGGAAGCCUCUUCCAUCCCCUCCACGCCUGUGUGUCCCCAGGCGAGACACUGAACCACUCUGUGCCUGUUCCCCCAUCUCCAAAUGGGAACAAGACAGUCCUCUGUCCCUGUCUGGUGUUUAUAAGUAUUAAAUGAGAAACUGUAAAGCUCUUCAGAGAGUGCCUGGCACACAACAGACACUCCAUAAACGAUGACCAUCGUGAAAAUCA